Molecule: ribosomal RNA, 513 nt
Filed under: uncultured bacterium
Lineage: Bacteria
Description: bacterial SSU rRNA
Rfam family: Bacterial small subunit ribosomal RNA
Source: RNAcentral
CGCUGGCGCGUGCCUAAUACAUGCAAGUCGAACGCACUCUCGUUUAGAUUGAAGGAGCUUGCUCCUGAUUGAUAAACAUUUGAGUGAGUGGCGGACGGGUGAGUAACACGUGGGUAACCUGCCCUAAAGUGGGGGAUAACAUUUGGAAACAGAUGCUAAUACCGCAUAAAACCUAACACCGCAUGGUGUAGGGUUGAAAGAUGGUUUCGGCUAUCACUUUAGGAUGGACCCGCGGUGCAUUAGUUAGUUGGUGAGGUAAAGGCUCACCAAGACCGUGAUGCAUAGCCGACCUGAGAGGGUAAUCGGCCACACUGGGACUGAGACACGGCCCAGACUCCUACGGGAGGCAGCAGUAGGGAAUCUUCCACAAUGGACGAAAGUCUGAUGGAGCAACGCCGCGUGAGUGAAGAAGGUUUUCGGAUCGUAAAACUCUGUUGUUGGAGAAGAAUGUAUCUGAUAGUAACUGAUCAGGUAGUGACGGUAUCCAACCAGAAAGCCACGGCUAACUACGUG